GACAGAGGCCCCGAGCGUUAGGCGGAAUCACUGGGCUUAAAGCGUGUGUAGGCGGAAGAGUAAGUGUCUUGUGAAAUCCCACGGCUCACCCGUGGAACCGCUGGGCAUACUGCUCUUCUUGGGCCGUUCAGGGGCGACUGGAACAAGCGGUGGAGCGGUGAAAUGCGUAGAUAUCGCUUGGAACGCCGAAGGUGAAAACAGGUCGCUGGGGACGCGCCGACGCUGAGACACGAAAGCCAGGGGAGCAAACGGG
This 253-nucleotide ribosomal RNA is filed under the name uncultured bacterium. RNAcentral describes it as "partial 16S ribosomal RNA". It matches the Rfam family "Bacterial small subunit ribosomal RNA", at positions 524 to 776 of the family's 1533-position model. The record is from RNAcentral.